UGCCAAGUUUAAGCUUUAAUCUUACCUUAGA
This 31-nucleotide non-coding RNA is filed under the name Rattus norvegicus (Norway rat). Lineage: Eukaryota; Metazoa; Chordata; Mammalia; Rodentia; Muridae. The record is from RNAcentral.